GAUGAACGCUGGCGGCGUGCCUAAUACAUGCAAGUCGAGCGAACAGACGAGGAGCUUGCUCCUCUUACGUUAGCGUCGGACGGGUGAGUAACACGUGGAUAACCUACCUAUAAGACUGGGAUAACUUCGUGAAACCGGAGCUAAUACCGGAUAAUAUAUUGAACCGCAUGGUUCAAUAGUGAAAGACGGUUUUGCUGUCACUUAUAGAUGAAUCCGCGCCGCAUUAGCUAGUUGGUCAGGUAACGGCUUACCAAGGCAACGAUGCGUAGCCGACCUGAGAGGGUGACCGGCCACACUGGAACUGAGACACGGUCCAGACUCCUACGGGAGGCAGCAGUAGGGAAUAUUCCGCAAUGGGCGAAAGCCUGACGGAGCAACGCCGCGUGAGUGAUGAAGGUCUUCGGAUCGUAAAACUCUGUUAUUAGGGAAGAACAAAUGUGUAAGUAACUAUGCACGUCUUGACGGUACCUAAUCAGAAAGCCACGGCUAACUACGUG
RNAcentral lists this ribosomal RNA (497 nucleotides) under uncultured bacterium. Its description in RNAcentral is "partial 16S ribosomal RNA". It matches the Rfam family "Bacterial small subunit ribosomal RNA", at positions 28 to 507 of the family's 1533-position model. The record is from RNAcentral.